This 349-nucleotide unclassified non-coding RNA is filed under the name fungal sp. RNAcentral's name for it is "partial internal transcribed spacer region". The stretch from base 1 to 46 matches the Rfam family "Eukaryotic small subunit ribosomal RNA", at positions 1786 to 1831 of the family's 1831-position model. Lineage: Eukaryota; Fungi. The record is from RNAcentral.
AAGUCGUAACAAGGUUUCCGUAGGUGAACCUGCGGAAGGAUCAUUAACACGUAUCCAACGUUAAACAACCCUGUGAACUUUCAACACCGCCGGAAUGAGAUUAAUUUCCAACUCCGGUGAAGGCAAGUGACCUGGCACCUGGACCACAUCAAAGCUCUGACAGAGUGCCUCUGGAUCGUGCUUGAAGGGUGACGCAGUAACGAUCGCUGGAGGCCCACACGGCCGGCGACUGGGUCAGCGAGCUAACGCUCCCUCAAUAACCACUUAACAUGACGACAGUUCCUCUUUAACUUGAGUUGAGCUAUAACAAAAAACUAUACAACUGUUAACAAUGGAUAUCUUGGUUCUC